Molecule: ribosomal RNA, 873 nt
Filed under: Triticum aestivum (bread wheat)
Lineage: Eukaryota; Viridiplantae; Streptophyta; Magnoliopsida; Poales; Poaceae
Description: partial small subunit ribosomal RNA
Source: RNAcentral
AUGAGGUCCAAUGUCACCAAUGAGACCCUAGCAGAUUUUGUUAAGUCUGGAUAUCUGCCCAAGAAGGAUGUCAUGUCCUACCGUGCCCCUGACCCGUCAGAAGAGAGACCACAGCCAAAGGACGGGGAGGUAGUGAUUUUUGCAGAUCAUAUGAGCCGGGGCUUCGCACCGCCCGGCUCAAAGUUUUUUAGGGACGUGCUAAACUUCUUCGACUUACGGCCUCAAGACAUUGGACCCAACUCAGUGUCCAACAUCUACAACUUCCAAGUCUUCUGCGAGGUUUACCUUGGAGAAGAACCUAGUCUGCUGCUCUUCAGAGAGCUUUUUCACUUGAACCGUCAGAAUGAGUGCGCCAAUGGGCCAAGUCUGGAGUUAGGUGGUAUCUCCAUCCAGCGGCGUAGGGACUGCCUUUUUCCUUACGCAGAGCCGCCGAGCCACCCAAAAGACUGGAACUUGACUUGGUUCUAUUGCCAAGACACGUCACCGGCUGAUGAAAGUCCGCUGCCUGGCUUUCGCCCAUCGCGUCUGGAGCCGACUCACCCACUGUCAGACAAGCUGACUCAAGCGGAGCGCCAACCUCUGCUCCCCACUAUCAACAAGAUCAAGGCUCUCCUGGGCAAUGGUCUGAAUGGGAUCGACCUGGUCCGGGUCUGGAUCUCAUGGCGGGUGAUCCCAUUGAGCCGCCGCCCCGGCUUAAUGUGCGAGUACACGGGCCGAAAGGACGACCCUCACAGACACAGCCGCAACGAUCUUCCUGAAGACGUUGCAGAAGAGAUGACCAAGGCUCUCUUGAACGAGAGCCUGGCAGACUGCGGAAGGACCGGGUUAGCCCCCUUCUGCAAGACCAACCCAGCCCCAGCGGUAAGCCGCUAA